Schistosoma rodhaini is the source of this 46-nucleotide non-coding RNA. The record is from Rfam. Lineage: Eukaryota; Metazoa; Platyhelminthes; Trematoda; Strigeidida; Schistosomatidae.
GCACUGCUGAGGAGUCCCACGAUAGGACAAAACGGCCGUCCAGUGU